GAAGAAGGUCUUCGGAUUGUAAAGCACUUUAAGUUGGGAGGAAGGGCAUUAACCUAAUACGUUGGUGUUUUGACGUUACCGACAGAAUAAGCACCGGCUAACUCUGUGCCAGCAGCCGCGG
This 121-nucleotide ribosomal RNA is filed under the name uncultured Pseudomonas sp. RNAcentral's name for it is "partial 16S ribosomal RNA". It matches the Rfam family "Bacterial small subunit ribosomal RNA", at positions 407 to 520 of the family's 1533-position model. Lineage: Bacteria; Pseudomonadati; Pseudomonadota; Gammaproteobacteria; Pseudomonadales; Pseudomonadaceae. The record is from RNAcentral.